UGGCUAUUGAGGAGUCUGUGAAAGAACUUCUGUUAGAAAACUUCAGAAAUUUGGAUUUUGUGAAGGAUGUUUCUUUGGAUUUGAGCUAUCAAAGGGUAGUUCUUGAAGAGAAGAAUGAAAAGAUUGGGGCUUUUAUUAAUGAGAAUAAGAGGGCUGGGAAGAUUUUUACAGCUAUGUCCUUCAGUGAAGAUCAAAACUAUGCAGUGGCCAACACAAGUAACAUGAAGAUUAGUUGG
This 236-nucleotide unclassified non-coding RNA is filed under the name Hevea brasiliensis (rubber tree). The record is from RNAcentral. Lineage: Eukaryota; Viridiplantae; Streptophyta; Magnoliopsida; Malpighiales; Euphorbiaceae.